This 398-nucleotide ribosomal RNA is filed under the name uncultured bacterium. RNAcentral describes it as "partial 16S ribosomal RNA". It matches the Rfam family "Bacterial small subunit ribosomal RNA", at positions 523 to 918 of the family's 1533-position model. The record is from RNAcentral.
AUACGUAGGGUGCGAGCGUUGUCCGGAAUUACUGGGCGUAAAGAGCUCGUAGGUGGUUUGUCGCGUCGUCUGUGAAAUUCCGGGGCUUAACUCCGGGCGUGCAGGCGAUACGGGCAUAACUUGAGUACUGUAGGGGAGACUGGAAUUCCUGGUGUAGCGGUGAAAUGCGCAGAUAUCAGGAGGAACACCGGUGGCGAAGGCGGGUCUCUGGGCAGUAACUGACGCUGAGGAGCGAAAGCAUGGGUAGCGAACAGGAUUAGAUACCCUGGUAGUCCACGCCGUAAACGAUGGGCACUAGGUGCCUGGGGGAGCGACCCCCCGGGUGCCGGCGCUAACGCAUUAAGUGCCCCGCCUGGGGAGUACGGCCGCAAGGCUGAAACUCAAAUGAAUUGACGGGG